RNAcentral lists this ribosomal RNA (536 nucleotides) under uncultured bacterium. Its description in RNAcentral is "partial 16S ribosomal RNA". It matches the Rfam family "Bacterial small subunit ribosomal RNA", at positions 355 to 902 of the family's 1533-position model. The record is from RNAcentral.
UGGGGAAUAUUGCACAAUGGGCGAAAGCCUGAUGCAGCAACGCCGCGUGCGGGAUGACGGCCUUCGGGUUGUAAACCGCUUUCAGCAGGGACGAAGGUUUUCUGACGGUACCUGCAGAAGAAGCACCGGCUAACUACGUGCCAGCAGCCGCGGUGAUACGUAGGGUGCGAGCGUUGUCCGGAAUUAUUGGGCGUAAAGAGCUUGUAGGCGGUCCGUUGCGUCGGAAGUGAAAACUCAGGGCUUAACCCUGAGCCUGCUUUCGAUACGGGCGGACUUGAGGGAUGUAGGGGAGAACGGAAUUCCUGGUGGAGCGGUGGAAUGCGCAGAUAUCAGGAGGAACACCAGUGGCGAAGGCGGUUCUCUGGACAUUUCCUGACGCUGAGAAGCGAAAGCGUGGGGAGCAAACAGGCUUAGAUACCCUGGUAGUCCACGCCGUAAACGGUGGCACUAGGUGUGGGACCCAUUCCACGGGUUCCGUGCCGUAGCUAACGCAUUAAGUGCCCCGCCUGGGGAGUACGGCCGCAAGGCUAAAACUC